Molecule: ribosomal RNA, 396 nt
Filed under: uncultured bacterium
Lineage: Bacteria
Description: partial 16S ribosomal RNA
Rfam family: Bacterial small subunit ribosomal RNA
Source: RNAcentral
AUACGGAGGGUGCAAGCGUUAAUCGGAAUUACUGGGCGUAAAGCGCACGCAGGCGGUCAAUUAAGUCAGAUGUGAAAGCCCCGAGCUUAACUUGGGAAUUGCAUCUGAAACUGGUUGGCUAGAGUCUUGUAGAGGGGGGUAGAAUUCCACGUGUAGCGGUGAAAUGCGUAGAGAUGUGGAGGAAUACCGGUGGCGAAGGCGGCCCCCGGGACAAAGACUGAGGCUCAGGUGCGAAAGCGUGGGAAGCAAACAGGAUUAAAUACCCGGGUAGUCCACGCGGUAAACGAUGUCGAUUUAGAGGUUGUGGUCUUGAACCUUGGCUUCUGGAGCUAACGCGCUAAAUCGACCGCCUGGGGAGUACGGCCGCAAGGUUAAAACUCAAAUGAAUUGACGGGG